Nycticebus coucang (slow loris) is the source of this 133-nucleotide small nucleolar RNA. RefSeq annotates it as small nucleolar RNA SNORA61. The transcript has a single exon. The record is from RefSeq and is a predicted model, not a curated record. Lineage: Eukaryota; Metazoa; Chordata; Mammalia; Primates; Lorisidae.
ACCCUCCUGAUUCCCUUUCCCAUUAGAUCUGAACAUUGGUCUUGGUGGUCGUAAAAGGAUGAAAAGUAAUACUGAAGCUGGCCUCACACCAUUGUAGUAUAGUAUAUAUCAUGCGGGCUAGUUCCAAACAAGG